AGUGAACGCUGGCGGUAUGCCUAACACAUGCAAGUCGAACGGCAGCACAGUAAGAGCUUGCUCUUACGGGGGGCGAGUGGCGGACGGGUGAGGAAUACAUCGGAAUCUACUUUUUCGUGGGGGAUAACGUAGGGAAACUUACGCUAAUACCGCAUACGACCUACGGGUGAAAGCAGGGGAUCUUCGGACCUUGCGCGAUUGAAUGAGCCGAUGUCGGAUUAGCGAGUUGGCGGGGUAAAGGCCCACCAAGGCGACGAUCCGUAGCUGGUCCGAGAGGAUGAAGAGGCACAGUGGAAGCGAACGACGGUACAGGCUCCUACGGGAGGCCGAGAUGCGGACUAUUGGAAAAUGGGGGGAAGAUUGCACAAGCCAUACAGGGUGGGUGAAGCAGGCCUUCGGGGUGUAAAGCCCUUUUGUUGGGAAAGAAAAGCAGCAGGUUAAUACACCGCUGUUCUGACGGUACCCAAAGAAUAAGCACCGGCUAACUUCGUG
This 492-nucleotide ribosomal RNA is filed under the name uncultured bacterium. RNAcentral's name for it is "partial 16S ribosomal RNA". It matches the Rfam family "Bacterial small subunit ribosomal RNA", at positions 29 to 507 of the family's 1533-position model. The record is from RNAcentral.